CGUGGUAGAUAAGUUUGAGUUGCAUAGUGGCAGUCUUCCUUUGUUUGUUAACCCAUAUUUUCAUGAUUCGAGGCCUAUUAAACCUCUGUUACAUCUGCUUUUUGAAAAGUUGUCAUUUUUCUGAAAUCUUCUUGCCUCAAUUUCCAACAGCAGAUUCAUCUUUCAUUGGAUGAUCCGUUAGUUUUUGAUAGAAAAAAUGAGGUGGGAAGAAAUUAAGACUGACUUCGAAAUAGCCUUUAAAAUAGGGGUUUAUAGACCUCGAAUCAUAUCAAACGAGUCUGCUACUAUGCUACUGAAAACUUUAUCAAA
Non-coding RNA from Arabidopsis thaliana (thale cress), 309 nucleotides. The record is from RefSeq. NCBI's taxonomy places the organism in Eukaryota, Viridiplantae, Streptophyta, Magnoliopsida, Brassicales, Brassicaceae.